CUCAGUUCGGAUCGGAGUCUGCAACUCGACUCCGUGAAGCUGGAUUCGCUAGUAAUCGCGCAUCAGCCAUGGCGCGGUGAAUACGUUCCCGGGCCUUGUACACACCGCCCGUCAAGCCAUGGGAGCCGGGGGUACCUGAAGUCCGUAACCGCGAGGAUCGGCCUAGGGUAAAACUGGUGACUGGGGCUAAGUCGUAACAAGGUACC
RNAcentral lists this ribosomal RNA (206 nucleotides) under uncultured bacterium. RNAcentral describes it as "partial 16S ribosomal RNA". It matches the Rfam family "Bacterial small subunit ribosomal RNA", at positions 1287 to 1500 of the family's 1533-position model. The record is from RNAcentral.